GUCGGGUCCUUGGAAACAGAAUAACAUGGGAAGAAAUGGAAAAUCUAUCAAUAUACAAUUUGUUUACAUUACUUUGUAAGCCCCUUGUAUUUUGAUAGGAAACCAGAAGAAAAAAUCUAUUUUUUUUUUUUUAAAUAGAUGAAGGUGUAGAUGUAGAUGGUUUGGGAUUUCCAACUUCCUUUAAACGAAUUUUCUAUUUUUUAGCUUCGUACUCUUUAACAAAAAUGCCUACAGGCCAAAAAUCGGCUGAGCAUAGGGGAUACCGAUCCUAAAUGAUGACACUUCCCUAGCAUAUGGAAAACUAAAAUAUUCAACAUUUAGAUCAUCCAUAUGAGUUUUGUUACGAAUAUAGGCAGAAAUGUCCAGAGAUGAAAGGUCAGGACUCAGCCGAUAAAAAAAAUUUGUUUUCGCUUUGGUUUUACGCUUAGGAAAAUCAGGCUCAGAUAGCAUACGUCUAGUGAGCUGCGACUCAAGCGCCACAAGCAGAUCCAUAUUUCUACGGCUGUUUAAGUAGACUUAUAGAAGUUACCUGGGUUUCAUACGCAACGCAUUCAUCACAAUAGUAGCGCAAGCCACUUCUCAUGGCGAUUACGUAUCGUACCGGGCCCAAAUGUAAAAUAUUGUCAUACGGAACGCUCUGUUGUCCAGCUGAAAUCAAAAACUUUCGUUUUUUUGAAUAACGGACGGCCAUUAUCUGGCGCCAGAGGAACCAUGCGCUACGACUGAGUUGGUGCCGGUGCGCAGCGCGACGGCCAAAUUGCUAACUGGAGGACCAAAGAAAUGGAAAUCAUGCUCGCGUUUCGGAAUCCAGUGGUUACACACCGUCGUUUAUUACCCAAGGCAGAGAGCAAAGAUUACCCAAUGGCCUGCAAGUUAGAGAGACCUUAGGGAAGGUUUAGCCCAGGAAGCAGGAUACAAACACCACAAUUCUUAUCUCCGCUGCGAAGCAAGUGCGAAAUCAUUGCCGCACUCUCUAUCAAGGAUGCCGUUAAUUAAAAAAUUAUAUAUUUA
Molecule: long non-coding RNA, 1011 nt
Organism: Drosophila biarmipes
Lineage: Eukaryota; Metazoa; Arthropoda; Insecta; Diptera; Drosophilidae
Exons: 2
Source: RefSeq, a predicted model, not a curated record